GGACCAUGCUAGGGAGCAGAGGCCUUCCUGCCAGGCUCUGUCUGCAAACCUCAAGGCAGGGUACCCACAGAAAAGCCUGUUCAUACACCUCCUUAAUGAGAAAGGAAAGCAGAGGCUGACAGAGAUGAGGGAGAGAAGAGAUUCAGGGCCAGGGCCCACUCCGCUCUGCUCCGUGCCAAGGCUCCUAAGAGUUUGACAUUUGGAAAAGAUCUGGCCUCAUGGAGCCAAGGAUUUGGGACAGGGCUCCUUCCGGCUCCCGGGAGUGUCAAGAAGAAGAGAAGGAGGAGGAGGAAAAUGACUCAGCUGAAAUGAAGAGAAAUGUAUUUUUAAAAAGCGAAACGAUGAAAGGCACAAAGGAACAAAAUGGAGCCGCAGGAUGGGGUCCAAAUGCCUUCUCAGAUGAAGUGGGACGAAUCUGCAACAAGCUCGAGAGCUCACUAGGGCUUCCAAACCAAGAAUAACACCACGAAAAUGAAGAGAGUCUUUGGGGCCGGCCAGGUCUGUGGUCCCCAGGGGCUGGUGCCCACCUCUGCAGGAGGGAUGCUGAAAGCCACCCAGCAGGUCGGAAGCUUCUCCACACUUUUGAUUCGGACAAUGGAAUGAGUUCUGUGACAGAGGAGUCGGGGACAAAGCCAAGGUCAGAUGACCCCGAUUGCAAAAGCUUCAUCUUGAAAUAUUCAGUGGAGAACAAGCAUGAUAAUGAGAAGAGAUAGGAGAAGAGAAGCCCAGAUCUGCAUCUCCCUUCCCCCGGGUCAUCCGGUCCCCCUUCUCCAAAUCAUCAGAGGCUAAGCAAGGGACCUCCAAACCAGCCCUGAGACCAUGACAGCAGCCAGGACAAAGCCCCUGCUCCUG
Molecule: long non-coding RNA, 852 nt
Organism: Ailuropoda melanoleuca (giant panda)
Lineage: Eukaryota; Metazoa; Chordata; Mammalia; Carnivora; Ursidae
Exons: 3
Source: RefSeq, a predicted model, not a curated record